AUCCCUGUGGCUCAGUUGGUAGAGCCUGGUGUUUGCAACGCCAGCAUGGUGUGUGCAACGCCAGGGUUGUGGGUUCGAUUCCCACGGGGGACC
Molecule: transfer RNA, 93 nt
Filed under: Salmo salar (Atlantic salmon)
Lineage: Eukaryota; Metazoa; Chordata; Actinopteri; Salmoniformes; Salmonidae
Rfam family: tRNA
About the family: Transfer RNA (tRNA) molecules are approximately 80 nucleotides in length.
Source: Rfam by way of RNAcentral